RNAcentral lists this ribosomal RNA (407 nucleotides) under uncultured prokaryote. Its description in RNAcentral is "bacterial SSU rRNA". It matches the Rfam family "Bacterial small subunit ribosomal RNA", at positions 355 to 776 of the family's 1533-position model. The record is from RNAcentral. RNAcentral also lists the same sequence under 1 other name.
UGGGGAAUAUUGGGCAAUGGGCGAAAGCCUGACCCAGCAACGCCGCGUGAAGGAAGAAGGCCCUCGGGUUGUAAACUUCUUUUGUCAGGGACGAAGAAAGUGACGGUACCUGACGAAUAAGCCACGGCUAACUACGUGCCAGCAGCCGCGGUAAUACGUAGGUGGCGAGCGUUAUCCGGAUUUACUGGGUGUAAAGGGCGUGUAGGCGGGAGUGCAAGUCAGAUGUGAAAAUUAUGGGCUCAACCCAUAACCUGCAUUUGAAACUGUAUUUCUUGAGUGAUGGAGAGGCAGGCGGAAUUCCGUGUGUAGCGGUGAAAUGCGUAGAUAUACGGAGGAACACCAGUGGCGAAGGCGGCCUGCUGGACAUUAACUGACGCUGAGGCGCGAAAGCGUGGGGAGCAAACAGG